GACAGUACUCCUACGGGGAGGCAGCAGUGGGGGAAUAUUGCACAAUGGGCGCAAGCCUGAUGCAGCCAUGCCGCGUGUGUGAAGAAGGCCUUCGGGUUGUAAAGCACUUUCAGUCGUGAGGAAGGUAGUGUAGUUAAUAGCUGCAUUAUUUGACGUUAGCGACAGAGAAGCACCGGCUAACUCCGUGCCAGCAGCCGCGGUAAUACGGAGGGUGCGAGCGUUAAUCGGAAUUACUGGGCGUAAAGCGCAUGCAGGUGGUUUGUUAAGUCAGAUGUGAAAGCCCGGGGCUCAACCUCGGAAUAGCAUUUGAAACUGGCAGACUAGAGUACUGUAGAGGGGGGUAGGAAUUUCAGGUGUAGCGGUGAAAUGCGUAGAGAUCUGAAGGAAUACCGGUGGCGAAGGCGGCCCCCUCGGACAGAUACUGACACUCAGAUGCGAAAGCGUGGGGAGCAAACAGGAUUAGAUACCCUGGUAG
RNAcentral lists this ribosomal RNA (475 nucleotides) under uncultured bacterium. RNAcentral's name for it is "bacterial SSU rRNA". It matches the Rfam family "Bacterial small subunit ribosomal RNA", at positions 329 to 793 of the family's 1533-position model. The record is from RNAcentral.